GUAAAUUCAUCUCUUUACCGGCAACACCCCCGUCGGUGUUCCUUUUACGGUAGAACUUUGAAAUAUUCCAAAGAAUUAUACCUUUUCGCCGACUACCCUUACUUCUCCUCAUACACUUGACUGUAGAGUUGCGAUCCGUUUUUCAGCUACUAUUCUUUUGAGUCUUUGACUGACUGAACCUUCAGAAAAUGGCGUCAACGGAGGGGCUGAUGCCAAUAACCAGAGCUUUCUUGUCUUCUUAUUAUGAUAAAUACCCAUUUUCCCCUCUUUCUCAAGAUGUAUCGCGUCUUACUGAUGAAAUUCAUUCCAUGGCUAAGAAUCUGCAGAAAGAUGCUCCUUUAACAGAAGGAGAAAGUUCAUUAGUCCUUGAAGCGGAGAGUCACCCUCCUCACAAAGUUGACGAGAAUUUGUGGAAGAACCGAGAACAACUUGAAGAAAUACUUUUCCUAUUGGAAAGCUCCAAUUGGCCACCAGCGCUUCAAUUGCAGUCAACCACUGAAGAUGUUGAACUUGUUUCUGUCCUUGAACGGCUCGGAGAAAAAUUCCGAAGUACAUUGAAGAGUUUGCAAACUUUCCAGUCAAAGAAUUCUGAGUUCGUCUUCAACACUGUGAUGACCUACAUGCCACAAGAUUUUCGUGGUACACUAAUAAGGCAACAGAGGGAGCGUUCUGAGAGAAAUAAGCAGGCCGAAGUUGAUGCUCUAAUCAAUUCUGGUGGAAGUAUUCGUGAUCGAUAUGCUCUGCUAUGGAAUCAACAAAUGGAACGGAGACGGCAACUGGCUCAACUGGGUUCUGCUACAGGUGUCUAUAAGACACUGGUGAAGUAUUUAGUUGGAGUGCCACAGGUUCUGUUGGAUUUUGUUCAGAAAAUAAACGACGAUGAUGGGCCAAUGGAAGAGCAGCGACAACGUUAUGGUCCACCUUUGUACAGCCUCACAAAAAUGGUGCUCAACAUUCGGCUUUUUCUUUCUCUGCUUUGGCGACGUUUUGAAGCUGGAAAACUGUCAAGGAGUCAAAUUACGGUCUUGGAAGAAGCAGUAGAUAUCUACACAUCCGAGUUUCAAAGAUUCAUCACAUUCAUUCGAGACGUAUUUGCAAAUUCCCCUUUCUUUAUUACUGCAGAAGAAGCUGGUACAUUAGAAGCCAGAAAAAGUGAUGAGUACAAGGAAGUGAGUGUUCCAGCAGGAAAAAGUCAUGAGGUAUCAUUGACAGUCGAUGCCAUAAAUUCAUACAUUGCGUGGGAUUUCUCUUUGGUUCAAGGCAGAGUAGAUAUGGACAUAGGCUUUAGCAUGGAGUAUACGGAUCCUUCCGGACAGAAGACGCAAAUCUUACCUUAUCGACGAUAUGGAGCUGACCAAGGGAACUUCUGUACGUGCCUGUCUGGAAACUACAAACUCAUAUGGGAUAAUUCUUAUUCGACAUUUUUCAAGAAGGUCUUGCGAUUCAAGGUGGACUGUAU
This 1459-nucleotide unclassified non-coding RNA is filed under the name Hevea brasiliensis (rubber tree). The record is from RNAcentral. Lineage: Eukaryota; Viridiplantae; Streptophyta; Magnoliopsida; Malpighiales; Euphorbiaceae.